Molecule: ribosomal RNA, 611 nt
Filed under: Vibrio sp. UST050418-166
Lineage: Bacteria; Pseudomonadati; Pseudomonadota; Gammaproteobacteria; Vibrionales; Vibrionaceae
Description: bacterial SSU rRNA
Rfam family: Bacterial small subunit ribosomal RNA
Source: RNAcentral
GUAAACGCAGUUGAGCGGAAACGACAUAACGAAUCCUUCGGGAUGCAGNUUGAAUUGGGCGUCGAGCGGCGGACGGGUGAGUAAUGCCUAGGAAAUUGCCUUGAUGUGGGGGAUAACCAUUGGAAACGAUGGCUAAUACCGCAUAAUGCCUACGGGCCAAAGAGGGGGAUCUUCGGNCCUCUCGCGUCAAGAUAUGCCUAGGUGGGAUUAGCUAGUUGGUGAGGUAAUGGCUCACCAAGGCGACGAUCCCUAGCUGGUCUGAGAGGAUGAUCAGCCACACUGGAACUGAGACACGGUCCAGACUCCUACGGGAGGCAGCAGUGGGGAAUAUUGCACAAUGGGCGAAAGCCUGAUGCAGCCAUGCCGCGUGUAUGAAGAAGGCCUUCGGGUUGUAAAGUACUUUCAGUUGUGAGGAAGGGUGUGUAGUUAAUAGCUGCGCAUCUUGACGUUAGCAACAGAAGAAGCACCGGCUAACUCCGUGCCAGCAGCCGCGGUAAUACGGAGGGUGCGAGCGUUAAUCGGAAUUACUGGGCGUAAAGCGCAUGCAGGGUGGUUCAUUUAAAGUCCAGCAUUGUUGAAAAGCCCCCGGGGCUCAAACCCUCGGAAACUGC